AUCACCAAGAUUAAAAAAAAAAGUAGUAAACCGUGCAGAACAUUGUAAAACACAUCAUUACUUCUGGAAGGAGAUUAGUUUGCGUAUCCUCGAGAAUUAUAAAAGUAGUAUAAACCAUGUGGGCAUUGUAUCAUCGAUAUUUAUAAAGUAGUAAACCAUGUGAGCAUUUCUCGUUAACAGUCUUAACAGCACUGAAUUCAGAACACAAAAAAGCUAGGGUUUUUAUAGCCGAUUCAAGCAAAAAUAAAAAUAAAAAUAAAAAUAGAAGGCAGCAGAUCGACGAGUGAUAAAUCGAAGAAGGAAGAUAGAGGGACCCAGAGAUCCUUACAUCUUCCUCUCCUCCUUAUCGAAGAUGGUGGAUUUGAGCCGCCCCAGCGAUGCCAUCCCGCUCCGCCUCGGCCUCGCCUCGUCUGAGCUCCUCAGCAGCCGCGGCCAGCGCACGAGCACCAGCCUACCGCCAGGAUGCCGCGCCGGGAUUUGGGGAAGGAUGGUACGCGAGCGCCUGGUGCGGCGGCGGUGGCGUCGACGGGGGUGUCUGAAUGAAUAGGGGCGCACUGCUGGGCGCUGGAGGGUGGCAGAAGGGAACCACGAUGUGGGCCGCGGGCCGCUCUUGGACCAACUUGCCGAGUCCGCUAGAGCCCAUUUCACGGGCUGGCCUUUUUAGCAGCGGAGCACAAAGGGGCCCCUGUACAAAGGGCCAGACCACCUCACGGGGUUCAUGGAUGACUAGGAGGGAAAUGGAAGCCGGCGUGCUGAGUUUUUGUCAGUCCACUGGGAUAUCUUGAAGGAUAGCUGGAAUGAAAUGUUUUCUGAAGCAAGGGUUGAACACUUGAAAUACCAUAAACCUUAUCAUAGACCGCUGCUGCUGCAUUUAAAAGAGAAAGUGACCCGUGUGAGCACUGGACCGGCUUUUCUCAGAUUUGAAGCUCCGCGGCUGAGACAGUUAAAUUUCCGGAAUGUGGUUGAAGAAGCCUGACAAGGCAUAGGGUUGAAUGAUCAGAAUGUUGGACUAGCAGAGAAACUGUCCAGGUACAUAAGGCUCUAAGCCAUUGGGAUAAGACCACUAGUACAAAAGAGAGCUUUAGUCCAAGGUCUGCAAUCCCAUUAGUCUCGGUUCAUUCACGAACCGGGACCUAUGGUGUCAUUGGACCCGGUUUGUGAGACCAGGGCGUCGGCCGGGCAUCGUGGGUCAUUGGUCUCGGUUCGUGUCACCCCUUUGUUCUCGGUUUCAUACACGAACCGGGACCAAUAGGCCGGAACCGUUCAUAUCCCCCUUUACUCUCGGUUGGUGGAUCAAACCGGGACUAAGUGGUGGUGGCAACCGUUCGUAUCACCGUUUAGUCUCGGUUGGUGGCUUAACCUGGGACUAAAGGCCCAAACGGUUUGCCUCCCGCGUCGUUUCCAGCGAUGAAAAGCACAACCGAAGCAGAGUCUCUCGCCAUUCUCUGUUCUUCUCCUCUCUCUUCUUCCCCUAUUUUCUUUCCUUCUCUUCUUCCACCAUGCCAACUCGCUCCAGAGAGGUGCUUGCACAUGGCAAGACCAAACUCGAUGUCGUGUACACGAACGACAGCAGGGAGGUGCCGCAUUUUCUUAGACAGUUGUAGGGAUGGCUUGACGCCGCGGUGGAGCAUGAGCAAUUCUUGGGGCUUGAUAUGGAGUACACGGCCAAUCAACAAGGUGUUGCCGUCAUCCAACUAUGUUUCAAACUCCAUGUCUUGAUCUUUCAAUGGGCGAGGUAUGUUUUGAGGCUUUCUUUGAUCCAAGGUUAUGAAAAUUGCAUAUAGUGAUCUCUCUAGGUUCCAUUGGAUAGAAAUAUACAGUUUCUAUAUAUGUUCCAUUGGAUAGUUAAUUGAGGGUUUCUUGAUCAAUUCAUAGGAUAUGAGAAUUGCAUAUGAUAGCAAUAUGUUCCAUUAAAAUCCUAUAAAGAUCAAUUUCUCUUUAGUUGUAGUGAAACAAUUUUCCGCGGUGUUCUUUGAUCCAAGGUUAUGAAAAGUGCAUAUAGUGAUCUCUCUAGGUUCCAUUGGAUAUCAAUAUGCAGUUUCUAUAUAUGUUUCAUUGGAUAGUUAAUUGAGGGUUUGUUGCAUAGGAUAGCAAUAUCUUCCAUUUGAAUCCUAUAAAGAUCAAUUUUUCUUUAGUUGUAGUGAAACAAUUUUCCUUGUUGCGGCAGUAUGUAACAUUUGUUGCAUUUUAAUUUGUUGUUGUUGUAGUAGUGACAAGCAUUGUCCAGAACUCAUGGACUUCCUUUGCAGCGGCAUAAGUUUUGCUAGCGUUGACAUAAGGAACGGCAAGCUGAAGAUGAGGCACAACUUCGGGAUUGAGAUACCAGCUGACUGUCAUAAUGAUCUCCAAGAGAAAUUCAUGCUUAGACAUGACAAGACUUCGAUGGCUCAUAUGGCAGUCGUCUUGAUCGACGAGGAGUACGCUGAUAUGAAGUCCAAAUUCCCAAGGUCUCAGCAUAGACAUUGGGAGAGGACCCCACUUGACCCUAUCAACAUUGAGUAUGCAAUAAAAGAUGCAUACGUUUCAUACGAGUUGUACCGCAAGAUUCGAAUCAUGAACUAUGGCCAGCGUCACCUCACACCAGCUUGGAGACAUUCUGAUUCAGACGAUUCACACGAGUAGUGUUCACAACGGCAAACACUUGUAUAUAUAUUUGUGCUAGCUAUUAUUAUGUACUCUUUGGAUGAGUAUUAUUAUGUACUUCUUGGACCAAUUUAUAUAUGUUUAGUUUUUGUUUGUGCCAUUAUAGUUUUCAAAUUUGAAUGGUUGAGCCCUUUCUAACUUCAUUUGCUACUUUUCAUGGUAUCAUAUAUUUCAACCACAUAUAUAUACACGAAGUGCAUCCAGUUUUUUCCGCAAACCUCUCAACUUUUUAGCACAUGCUAUGUGGGUGAAAUGAUGAUACCAUGCCAACUUUCAACCUAUUCAUAGUUCAUUUGUAUUGCUUUUCAAUUUCUGGGUCAUUUAGCUAAAAAAAUCAGUAAAUGCAUGAAAAAAACCAAAUUAACUCGGAAAGUGUUGAAAAUUGAUGAUGUGGCCUUGAAUGGUGCAUCUUAAACACGCAAAAAGUCUUGAGUUCAAAUAAGUUUAAAAAAUGAAAUCCCUUUUGUAACAGAUGAGUUUUCGUAAGAAACCCUCAUACUUCGAAAGAGAUCGUCUGAUUUGUACACGAAGUGCAUCCAAUUUUUGCCGCAACCCUCUCAACUUUUUAGCACAUGCUAUGAGGGUGAAAUGAUGAUACCAUGCCAACUUUCAACCUAUUCCGAGUUCAUUUGUAUUGCUUUUUAAUUUCUGGGUCAUUUAGCUCAAAAAAUCAGUAAAUGCAUGAAAAAUACCAAAUGAACUCAGAAAGUGUUGAAAAUUKAUGAUGUGGCWUUGAAUGGUGCAUUUUGAACACACAAAAAGUCUUGAGUUCAAAUAAGUUCAAAAAAAUGAAAUCCCUUUUGUAACASAUGAGUUUUCGUAAGAAACCCUGAUACUUCGUUAGAGAUUGUCCGAUUUGUAUACGAAGUGCAUCCAGUUUUUGCCGCAACCCUCUCAACUUUUUAGCACAUGCUAUGUGGGUGAAAUGGUGAUACCAUGCCAACUUUCAACCUAUUCAGAGUUCAUUUGUAGUGCUUUUCAAUUUCUGGGUCAUUUAGCUAAAAAAAUCAAUAAAUGCAUGAAAAAUACCAAAUGAACUCAGAAAGUGUUGAAAAUUGAUGAUGUGGCUUUGAAUGAUGCAUUUUGAACACACACAAAUUCUUGAGUUUAAAUAAGUUCAAAAAAAUGAAAUCCUUUUUGUAACAUAUCAGUUUUUUUAUUAAAACAGUCAUUUAAAAUAACCUAAAACCUACCAAAUUUAAUAUAAUGAUAAAACACUGUAAUAUUAAAUAGCAGGAAAAAGAAUCACUCAAAAAUCUAUUUUUUAGUAAAGUUAUUCACAAAAUGAAAUAAAUAAAGUAAAAAACAAAACAAAAAACUAGAUUUUUUUUAAAUCACCUACUGGGCCACCACGGCCUGAAUACGACUAGAAACCUAACUAGAGAGUUGGGCCAGGAUUCAGGCCCGCAGAAGGCCCAAUAGGCCCACAAACAGUGACAAAUUAGGCGUGGAAGUUUGCAGUUGAGAGGAGCUCGACACGGUCUGCGCACCAGCGCUUGUAAACCACUCCCGAGCUCUCUCGGCUAGCAAGGUGGGACUAAACAUCCAACCGCACCGCGGCUGUGACACGCACAUGUCUUUCGUGUCGGUUGGUGGCACCAACCGGGACCAAUGACACCCUUUCGUGUCGGUUGGUGGCACAAACCGGGACUAAAGGUCUCUUCUUCCCGCCCUUUGGGCCGCUCUUGGACCAACUUGCCGAGUCCGCUAGAGCCCAUUUCACGGGCUGGCCUUUUUAGCAGCGGAGCACAAAGGGGCCCUGUACAAAGGGCCAGCCCACCUCACGGGGUUGAUGAACGAUGAUGAUGAUGAUUCAUGGAUGACUAGCUCGGAGGGAAGUGGAAGCCGGCAUGUUGAGUGAGUUUCUGUCAGUCCAUAGGGGCACAGGGCUAUCUUGAUUGAUAGCUGGAAUGGAAUGUUUCCUAAAGCAAGGGUUGAACACUUGGAAGUUGGAAUACCACAAAUCUGAUCAUAUCCCAUUGCUGCUUUCGUGUGAGCACUAGGCCGGCUGUUCUCAGAUUUGAAGCUCGGUGGCUGAGAGGGCCAAACUUCUGGAAUGUGGUUGAAGAAGCCUGGCAAGGCAUAGGGUUGAAUGAUCAGAAUUAAUGUUGGACUAGCAGAGAAACUGUUCCAGGUACAUAAGGCUCUACACCAUUGGGAUAAGACGGUGUUGCGGAAUAGUUCAAAAAAUCUAAAGAAAGUAAAAAAGAGAGAUUGAAUCAGUAAGUAUUACUCUUUCUCGUGAGAACGUGGCACUUCUGAAAGUCCUUGCCGAGGAACUAGAACGCCUACUCAAACAAGAGGAGCUUUAGUGGGCUCAACGGAACGGAAUCAAGAGGCUCAAGUACGGCGGUAAGAAUACGUCUUAUUUUCAUAAUUUUUCUAUUGCUCGCGGAAUUAGGAAUCAUAUAAAAACAAUUGAGGGAUGAUCAGGAGGCAUGAAGACAAGGUACUACAUAUUUAAAUCCCUCGGGUUAUUUUUGCGGGUUUGUUCUCAACAAUGAUAGGUGAGCCAGAUCCUUCACUGAUUGAGAGUUGUUCCACGUGUGACCAAUGCAAUGAUGAUCUUAUGAAACCUUAUACUGCAGAAGAGGUAAAAAAGAUGUUGUUCAGUAUAGGUGAUAUGAAAGCAUGAUGGUCUACAUGCAAUCUUUUUCAAAAACUGUUGGCCAAUUCUAGGUGAUGUGUUAACUACAUAGGUGCUAAAUGCUAUCAACAACAAAUCAAUUCCUGAAGGGUGGAAUCUGGAAUGAUACUGUGAUCGUGCUCAUUCCCAAGGAUGAUGGGCCGGAAAGAAUUACCCAAUAUAGUCCCAUCAGUCUCUGUAACGUUCUGUAUAAAUUAUCUCAAAGAUGAUAGCAGGUCGAUUCAAAUCUCCUUGAUGAGAUAACUUUCCCUAUCCAGAGUGCCUUUGUUUCUAGCAGACUAAUCACUGACAAUAUUUUGUUGGCUUUUGAAAGUUUGCACAUGAUAAAGAAUAAAAAGAAUGGAAAAGUUGGGUAUUGUGCAGUCAAGUUGGAUAUGCACAAGACUUAUGAUAGGGUCGAAUGGAAGUUUCUUGAAAAAAUGAUGAUAAAACUGGGUUUCCAUGCAGAUGUUGUCGAGUUGCUAAUUUCCUGUGUAACUUCGAUAAAAUAUAAGGUGACAUAUAAUGAUCCUCUCCCNNNNNNNNNNNNNNNNNNNNNNNNNNNNNNNNNNNNNNNNNNNNNNNNNNNNNNNNNNNNNNNNNNNNNNNNNNNNNNNNNNNNNNNNNNNNNNNNNNNNCCCGUCAGCUGCCGUCGAGGCCAGCCGAGUGGGCUGGCUGUCGCCAGCCGACCAGCAACUCGACGGCCAGACGGGCCGCGUGUCGUCAGUCAGCCCCCAAAUGUCUUGGAGUGGGGUUUCCUCCGCUUUGAUAUACACAUGAGCCAUUACCCUGUCAAUGUGUGUGUGCUGCCUCGGCCAUGCUUCUCUUGGUUUCUUCAAAGCAGAGGGGUUUCGAAGCAAAGUGCAGGUAUUUACAGCCCCAAGUCAAAGUUCCCACAAGUAGCUUUCGAACUGGACAAUUGCUUCAAAGUAACUUCACAUAAUGGGGAAAAUAUCUGCACAUUUUGCUGAAAACUGAAACAACAAGCCUAGGAAUAUGUCACUGGUGUUCAUGUUGGUCGAUCUGUUAGGGAUUCACAUACCACAUACACUAGGCAGGGACUAGAGUUUAUUUCUGAGAGGCUCAGAUACUGCCAUAUUUACACUGCGAGAAAAAACAAGGCACGCCCAGAGAUAGCUGUUCCAAGACUCCCAGUACGCCUUACCUUCUGGAGCUAUCCAAAUGAACUCAUCAUCCUCAACUCAACCAGGGUUCAGAGACUUCACCAAUCUGCCGUAACGCCUGUGCAAAGCUCCGAAUCCAGGUACCUGUAUAUAUGUACUCAUUUCUAUUUAUGUAAAUGUAGUAGGGUCAGGUAAAAUCUCUUACAGCCUAUACACCGGAUAAUAUGCACACUCGGCAACAAAUGCACCCAUUUCAGCACCUCACCGGGCCGCUCUGCUCGCGAAACACGAACAAACACAACGCACGCACUCACACCUAUAACACCUGCUUUCUUAUCUGCACAGCGUAAAAGCAAGCGCAAGCCAAGUUCCUCGCUUGCUGUUUGCGGCCUAGAAAAGCUGGAAAAAGAGGCUUGUCGAACCGUCGCCGAAUGACCGGAGGUCUGCUGGCUUCACCAGUGCCCUGCACAGCGGGCAGGUGCGCUCCCUCUCAAACCUGCCAUCAUCCAGAUAAAAAUGUUACAAAGGAAAUGCUAUCAGACAAUCUGAAUGUUGAGACUAUAAAACAAAAACUGUANNNNNNNNNNNNNNNNNNNNNNNNNNNNNNNNNNNNNNNNNNNNNNNNNNNNNNNNNNNNNNNNNNNNNNNNNNNNNNNNNNNNNNNNNNNNNNNNNNNNGAAUUCAAUGUUGCUGAAAUUUUACUUCACUCCUUCAGUGUAACACUAAAGUAGACCCACGAGAGCAACAUGCAUCUCUCACAGCUACGAAAGCGAUGUGAAAAUGAAACAUGGGCACACAUAAAUACAGAUGGCGCACCUACAUUCACUUGUAGUCAAAGCACAUCAAGGGUCGGAUUUGCAACGAUUUGCUACUCCAGUACUAAUGGCUUUGUUACAAGAUCCGUGCUCGUUUUUUCCCUGAAAGAGCAUGUAAGGACCUCUUGUAGCCACUCAGAUAACCAGAUCAUGGGAACAUGCCUUCAAGGAACUCUUGGAAACCUUCAUCCUUGUUUCCUGAACUCCUUGAAGAAGCUCCCUUCCGAUCUGCAGCAUUUUGCAAGAGUAAGUUUCAUGCAACUGGAAUCUAUGGCAUCCCUAGAUCCCCAAUAAACAAACACAAGAUGCAUGCAUGAGCACAGAAUAAUCGACAAAGCCCAAGGCUGCCGCAGGUUCUGGUGAGCCCAAUGCAGGCAUAUGUUCUACUGAGUGCAGAGCCAUGACAUUUGCGUAAAUGAAUAAACACAAGAUGUGUGUUCUAAAUAGGCCUCGUAAAUGAAUAAACACAAGAUGUGUGUUCUAAAUAGGCCUUAUUUGCAAGGCCUGAGAUCAGCCGUGACCUUGGGCCCAUUCCCAGGUGGAAACCACACACACAAUUACCCUGAGUCAAGUGAACUCAACAUUUAGAUGCCAAAUAUCUCGAAAAGUGUUGCUCGGGUUUCAGGAAAAAGGAUGGUGCCAAUAGGCCACAUGGAUGUUAUAAAACCCUAUAUGAGAUUUGGCUGCCUGAGAAGUACAGUAUCCAAGCAAGCCAUUAACUAAGCUUUAGACCCCUGCCCCACAACCCAACGAAGUACAUGACCAAUAUAAAAGGCGGAUGCAAUCAGCUGUACCUUUUUUCUUUCUUCUAUCUUUCUUGGCCUCAUCCUCUGAGGUGUCAUCACUUUCUUCAUGUUCUCUGCAGUUUGAACAGAUUCAAAGAAUGUAGUAUAACAAAAUAAUGGGGUUAGACAAGAACAAGAACUUAAGAUACCUCUUUCUCUUGUCCGGGUCUUUCAACUCAAUUUCCUUUUCACUGUAGGGAUCCUCCUCCUUCUCUUUCUCUUUCUCUUUCUCCUUUAGCCUCUUAUAAGCAAGCUUUUCUGCACAUCUUUCAUAAUGUACUACAAUCAGGCUAAAUAAUCAAUUGGGAACUUGCUUGAACAAAAUGAAAGCACAAAAAGACAAAGCAAGAUUCAGUGGUCCAAGGAAAAGUUAAAGAAAUAUAACUAUCAUGGUAAGAAAGAGCAGUGCCAAAUUUGGUUCAAACAGAUCCUAUUAUGGAACCGUGGAUUCACGAACCUCUUGCAAGCUACCAGCUUCACUAGUGCUUGUUUCUGCUCCCCUGCUUCAACAUAAGAAAAAUUCACCUGAAAAUGAUAAGAGAAAAAUGUAAGUGCUACAAAUACAGCUGAAACGGUUCUUUAUAAAAUCUGUUUUGUGUUUUACACAUUUUAGCAUGAUCAAUAGGAUUUUAGUGAAGAACAUACCUCAUAACUACCUAGCCCAUGUUUUUCAUCACAAUGCCUAUUGCCACAGAUAAAUUGCCCUGCAAAAGAGCAUAUUCUGACCAUUGCUAAAGAUUUUGUAUUGAUUCUGAACAAGAAAUAUACUAUCGUUUUUAAGUAAAUAGACAAUUUUCAGAAGAAAAAAAAUCUGUAUUGUCUAACACCUUAGUAUAAUUAGAAAAGAACACUACAAUGAUGGCUUCCAAAAUUUAGAGAUUCAAUUAUGAUUUGUUUUUGAGUUUGGUGAUAAUUUGGUGCAAGCACCCCAACUGCACUCAGACAUACAGCUAAAUAAAAGAAAAGUAUGCCUAAUAGUGUAAAGAAAUAAAGCUUUAAGCUCAGUAACCUUUAAUUGCAAUAUCUUUAAAUACCCUUCUAUGUUCUAGACUUCCAUUCGAAUGGUCUGUUAAUAGCAAUAGAAUACUCAUACAAUUUAAGUUCAGUUAUACUUUUCAGAGAAAUCAUUUUAGAUGGAAAUUAAUAGACGGGAUUGCUUAAGAAUACCUUUGCCAGAUAUCACUUCCUUUUCUGUUCUCCAUCUCAAUCCAAUCUGCAGGAGAAUAUACCCUUGUAAGAUGGGAUUCAUAUCCAAAACUGCAGAUGAUUUUAGAAGGAAAAAAAAAACUGGUUGGGCAUCCAUUCAUCAUCCUGCCACUGAAAAUGCACGACUGCCAUAUCGUUAAUAGUUGUUCACUUCUGUUUGGCAAACAUGGUUCUUGCAAUAUUCACAUUGAUGCAAAUUCACAACCAAAAAAAUAAUUUUCUAGUUAUUCCUGCAUGUGCAUUAUUUUUAUGAAAUAUGAAUUCAUUAAGGUCCAAAGAGUAUCACAAUUGGAAGGACACUUUUUUUUUCGGGAAAACGCAAAGGCUUGCGUUUCAUUUCAUUGAUAAGGGAGAGAAUAUGUACAGUACAUGCCUACGAGAAGGAGGCUACAGGGGCUCAAAAGAAAGAAAAGAAAAGGAAAAGGAAAGAAAGGCCUGCACAAGACUAGUGCACAUCCCAGGUAGGCGGCACAAUCGUCCCAAGGCCGGUAGCUCCAGCCUGAAUCCAGAGGGAGGCUUCCUCUCUGAUCUUUGCCGAAAGCACGGAGUGGAGGGCCGUUCGCCGUCGAACACACAUGAGUUGCGGUGCUUCCAAAGCAUCCAUGCUGUGAGGAGGGUUGCCGUGGCGAGGCCCUUGCGCAUAGCUUUAGGCGUGUCCAGCUUGGUUUGCAUCCACCAGUCGUUUAGGGAGGCCUCUUGGUCUGGCGGCCGGCAUGUCAAACGCAGCCAGGAGAGCGUGUCAUGCCACACCUGCCGCGAGAAGGGGCAGGUGACUAGCAAGUGGCGCAUCGUUUCAUGCUCUUGGUCGCAAAGGACACAGCGUGGAUGGUGCUGAAGGCCGCGGCGGCGCAGACGGUCCGCUGUCCAGCACCUGUCUAGAUUGGCAAGCCAUUGGAAGAACUUGACGCGGGGUGGUGCCCAGCUCUUCCAGGUUUCCAUGCAUCGCAGCUAGUGGAGCCCUGGAAGGUGACGAGGUACGCACUGCGCGCAGAGUAGCAGCCAUUUGAAGUCCACCUCCAGAUUAGCUGGUCCGGUCCCUCGGUGAGAACAACGCCUUCGGUUUCGCGCCACAGCAGCAAGUAUUGGCCUAUUUCAUGGAUGCCUAGGUGGCCGUGGAUGUCUCUAGCCCAGGUGUGGUUGAGGAGGCCUUCUGCAAUGGUGCGCUGCUUGCGCCGUCGUUUGGGGAUGCAAGCGUAUAGCCUUGGCGCGACCUCCCCGUUCUGCCAUCCCCCACGGCCAGAAUUGGAAGGACACUAUUGUUGCCUUUAGAUGUCCCUCCAAAAUUAAUGCCAUGCAUUCUUUUGUAUAUCAUUCAAGACUAAAGGAGAAACUACAUGUUUACAACACGAAACAGUAUUCAUUGACAUAGGGUUAAAGCACCAUACCUUGCCUUUUUUAUACUGGGUCAUGUCAGCAAUGCAAUACCUGCCUCAAGUUAAGGACCCUAAGCACAUUAUAGUUAAGUCUUACAAAAUUAAAUAGAACAACACACACACAUCAAAUACAGCCCCCAUUUAUACAAGCAAUGAUCAAUACUGAUUGACAGAAAGCACAAGUUCAUGAGGCAUUGAGGUGAAAUCAUGAAGCACUUAAGUCUCCAUGCAGAAGAGCAUACCAAUACAGAGGACAGGAAGAGAUAUAUGCUCUUUACAGGUUUAAGAUACAUUCACAUGCCUUAUGCAUAUUUACAUUACCAAACUAUUAAAUAAUUAUAUGUAAUGACAUUAGCAUCAGCAUACAUGAACUUGUUAUUUCACAAAAUUAUCUGAAAAAUAUGCCAUGUACUGACAUUUCCUCAUAGAAAUAACAUUGCAAUCCAAAAUAUACUAAAAAUGGAUACUCUUUAAAAAGCUUGUCAUAGUAACGUUUGACCAGCCUCUUCUCCCAAGUUGAAUCCAUGUCAUCCUCCUCGGAAAGAAUGAACCUUUCAAAUGUUAGAAGAAGAAAAGUGAGGCAUGUAUGAAAUUAUGAGUUUCCUAAAACCACAGGCAUAUGUUAAUAGGACGUGGUUCAGACCUGUAUCCUUCUCUCAAUGUAUCUUUAUCAGUUUUGAUGGGCAGACUGUUAUCCACAUUUUUCGUGUGGCCAUAAAACUGAACUGUUGAAAGGUAAAGACAUGUAUCACCGUAUCAGUGGCACACAGAAAAUGAAUGAUGGAUAUCUUGUACGCUAAGGUUAAAAGAAAUGUAAGGUUGAGUGUCCGAUCUCCAAUUCUUUCUACAACGAAGGGAUCUAUUGUUUCAUUCCACUAUUUUGUGAUAUUGGGAUGCAUUAAAAGAAAAGUUUUGUAAUGAAGCGGUGAUCUAUCUAUGUGUUGACAUUUGGCAAACAAAAAUGCACCAUUGCACAGGAUUGGUUAUCAAUAUAUUGGAGACCCGGACAUAAAUCCUAUGUUAAAGAUGCAUAUUAGAAUGUUAUCUAUAUUAAGCUAGGUAACAGGUUACAGUAGAAAUACACAAUCCAUGUAUGGAUGAAGGUAGCCCCCAAUUAUUCCUUAAGUAGAGUGGACUGUUCAUCAUUCAGUUUCUUUGGGAAACCAAGGCUGAGCAAAUAAAUAGCUCAUUAUAUGCCAUUGCCCCAGUUUCCAUUUCACUAUGAAAGGGCAACUCAAUCAUCUAUCCACACGUUUACAACGGGACAAGGUAACAAUAUGUCACAAUUAAAGGCACUACUGAAGCAGGCUCAUCAACAUACUAAAUGAUUGCAAUCAACUACAAUGGCAGAAGCCUACACACGUGACCAGAUUCUAGUGCGAUGGUUGCUCAAUUCCACACAGAAUUCAGCAUUUGAAAUAACUAGCAAUAACAGGAGCACGAGAAGGCUGCGGGAUCGAUUUUGGAGAAUCGAUGGCUAUGUUUGUAUGUGGAGUUGCAGCAGACCUGCAAGUGUUUUUUGCAUACUUAAAAGUUACGACUUAAACGUGUCCCCUGUUUUUGAACACUAUUAGUGCUACCAAUUAUAAUUUGGCUUGCCGAACUCAUGAUUCAUUACCAUGCCAUUUUAUUCCCAAACCAUUUUGCUGAACUAACACAAUUCCAGAAUCAAUCAGCAAAAAGGGGUAGUCGUUAUGUUACCUGUCUAUGGGUUGACAUUGGGCAAAAAAAGUAAAUCCCAUAUUAAAAAUCUAUAUUAGAAUGUUGUCCGUAUUAAGCUAGCUGACAAGUUACACAUAGAAAUACAAAAUCCAUGUAUGGAUGAAGGUAGCCCCCAAUUAUUCCUCAAGUAGAGGGGACUGUUCAACAUUCAGUUCCUUUUGGAAACCAAGACGAAGCAAAUAAAUGACUCAUUAUAUGCCACUGCCCCAGUUUCCUUUUCAGCAUUGAGACAAGGUACAAAUAUAGUAUUAGACUUAAAGCUACUCUAAAGCAGGCUCACCAGCACAAUGAAUGGUUGUGAUCAAUUACAAAGCCAGAAGCAUAUAUAGUAGUUGUGGUGUGUUGGAUGCUGAAUUCCAUACAGAGGUCGGCACUUGAGCUAACUAGUAAAUAGAAGCACAAGAAGUCAGCCGGGCCAAUUUUGGAGCACCAUGCUGAGUAUGUUUGUAUGUGUGGUUACAUCAGAAAUGCAAGUUUUUAGUGGACUUGCAAGUUACAAAUUUUGCCUGUUCUUUGAACCCCCACCACCAAGUAUAAUUACGUUUAUACCUAACUCAUGAUUUCGUUGCCAUGCUAUUUUAUUCUUUCAACCAUAACCAACACAAAUCCAGAGUCAAUCAGAAAAAAAAUGGGGCAAAGAUAAUAACAGCAUGCUUUUGUAGGAAACAACAGCAGCAGCAGAUCAUACCAUAAUCCUUCAUGAACUUCUUAUGGCGAUCGUACGCGUUGAGCCCCCGGAUGUGCGACUGGUACUGCCUGCAUCCAUCAAUUCGACAUCCACAGUUGUGAAGCAACAAUUCAGCCUAUGAAGCACAAGCAAACUAACGAAAAGACAUGCCCAAUGGCCAAAAACCAUUGCCUUCGAUUAGCACACUAGGAUACCCUAACGUGUACAAGGCGAUUAAGGGUCAAGAAGUAAAUUACAGUUCGCGGACACGUUUUUUUUUUUCAUAUCACCAAGAUUAAAAAAAAAAGUAGUAAACCGUGCAGAACAUUGUAAAACACAUCAUUACUUCUGGAAGGAGAUUAGUUUGCGUAUCCUCGAGAAUUAUAAAAGUAGUAUAAACCAUGUGGGCAUUGUAUCAUCGAUAUUUAUAAAGUAGUAAACCAUGUGAGCAUUUCUCGUUAACAGUCUUAACAGCACUGAAUUCAGAACACAAAAAAGCUAGGGUUUUUAUAGCCGAUUCAAGCAAA
RNAcentral lists this long non-coding RNA (13488 nucleotides) under Hordeum vulgare. Its description in RNAcentral is "long non-coding RNA (HVUL_LNC006466)". Lineage: Eukaryota; Viridiplantae; Streptophyta; Magnoliopsida; Poales; Poaceae. The record is from RNAcentral.